CCUUGAUUGAUUGUGAUGAGGAUUCCUUACUUGUUUGAAUUGAUCUUCAAUUAGGAGAGUAUUAAAGAUGGGAUUUGGCAAUUAUUAAUGUCUUUGACUUUUCUUCCUUGCCACGAGCAGUGGAGCUUGGUGGUGUCAUAGUCUGCUGCAAUGUUUCCAGGGAUGUUGGACUACGCAUGUGAAUAUUUAUAGGCCCUGCCCAUUUAUUGAGUGCAUUCUUGUCUUAUUCGAAAAAAAGUCGACAUGUCAUUUCUAGGAUUUUUGGAAAUAUUUUUUGCUCCACAUCCUGAUCUAAGGGAAAAAGAUUACAUUAAGGUCAAGUGCGUAUACUUCUGGAUACUCCCCUUGAGUUUGACAAAACCUCCAUAUGAGAACUACAAGCAUUGCAAAUGAGAUAAUUUACGCAUAACAAUUCCUUAGACAAGCUUCUGGAAGGUUGACCUCGGAAGUGACUUCGUGAAGAGGUUAGCAAAGUUAUCAUGGGAUCAGACUUGCUUGACUUCAAUCUUCACUAAGGUCUAUAUCGUGGACCUACAAACGAGUUUGAUAAGUAACCAGUGACACCAUAACAAACAAGGCAAGCAUCAUUGUGAGGAUCAGAUGAUUGAAUCCGCUCGAGAUGCGUAGUGAUAAGCCCAAGUCCAUUGUACCUUCAAAGUAACAAAAAUACUUCUUUAAUGCCAAUUCAGUGGUUGUGUGUAGACGCAUUGCUGUAUCUUUACCAAUAGAUCAACAACGAAGGAGGUAUCCUGCAUAACGAAAUGAACUAAGUACAACAAAUUGCAAACUUGAACUUAGAUAUGGAACUUCGGGUUCCACAACCUAUUCAAGGUCUCAUUUGCAUGUAGCAUAUGGAGUGACAGAGGGCUGCACUCUACACAUAAUUAAAAUGUAAUACUCUCCUAAAUUGAAGAUCAUUAAAUUCUCCUUUGCGCAGCGUUAAGAGUAUACUGAUAACAUGUUGUAGUAUGAAUUUAGUGAGGGAAAAGUGAUGGAGAAAACCACUGGCAAAGGGAAGAGAGAAAAAGGCUUGAGAAAUUCUAUGUGUCAUAUUCCUCGUGCUUUAUUCCUUUAUUUAUACUAAUAAGGGAGAGAGUAUCCUUACUCUCCAAGUAAUUAAUGCAAUUAAAAAUAGAAAACUAUCUAAAAAAUAUUAUAAAUGUACACAUAAUCUACUAGUGUAAAUUAAAAUAGGAUUGCAACAAUAACAUAAUACUAGCAUAAAUUAAGAAAACAAAAAAAAAUUAUAACACGAACCUAAACACUGGACAUGAUCAUGACUUUUUUUUUUUUUUUUUUUUUUAAAGUAAUAAGUAUUUCAUUAAUCAAAUAAAACAAAUGACAUCAAUCAUCAUGAAUACUAUUCUAUGAUUACAAAAGUAACACAAUAUUAGUAUACAACUUACCCCACAUAACCACCUUUAACCAAACAGAAAGAUAACAUUCAGGAGGAUAAAACCUUGAAUCACUUUCUGACGAACUUGUAAAAGACGACACUCCUUCAAUAAAGAAGCUCUGCUAUGAGACAUCAUAAAGAUGUCCCCAUAAUUUUUUUUUUCAGGCAACUGAACAACAAAACCACAACCACAAAAAAAAAAAAAAAUGACACAACAAAAGAUAAACUCGGCAAAGGUACGAUAUCGUGAGAGACCCACACCUAACCAACAAGAAGAUAAGAUCACAAGGCCUAAGCCCUAUGAGUUGGACCUAAUAGCAUCAAGACACACAAGGUAAACAUCGUAGUAUCACAUAAAGACUUUGCAACGACAAGAAAACAUGAUUGUGAAUCCCUCGAACUACUGCAACGAUCCCAUGAAGGAAAGACCGCACCAUAAUUUGAUGAUCUUGAAUUGUUGGCAAAAAAAUCUUGCUAUGAGCUACCUCCAACAAACAUCAAGCUUCCUCCGCAUAAUCUUUGCCAAGUGCACAAACCACAAAAUCACCACCUUAGAUUUGAACAACAAUUGUUGAUUUAAGAUCCGGGUUUGAGAAAUAAGUCAUAACCGCCACAAAAACUUUGCUCGUAAAAAAAGAGAGUGACCACAACCACAACCAAAAGCUCUAAUCGACAAAGCGAGUGAGACCACUACCAAAAACAGGAAAAGAAAGAGAAGGGAUCAAGAAGGAUUCCUAUAAAUUCAUCAUCUCCACCAAUUUUUGGUAAGCUUUGGCUACGCAAAUAAGCCUGAACACUCAUUCUUUUAGAGGAAUUGAAUUAGGCAACGGAUGUCCAUUAGCCAAACCACUCCCCACACCUCGUGGACGUGUGAAGUUUUGACCUUGAUUAAAUGUGUUUUUUUGUUUUGUAGGUACAAUUUCUAUGUACAUAAUAUAUAACUUUAUACUAUAAUAGUUUUAUAUUAUGAAAAUAGAAAUUCACACAACAAAAAGUUAUUCAUUAUGAAGAUAGGAAUUAUAAAAGAUAUUCUUGUUGCAGUCAUAUUUAGAAUAGGAAUGUGAUUGUGUAAAUCCUAAGGAAUCUGGGAAAGUAUCUUAUAUUCCUAUUAGGAUUAGAUUACCUAUUAAAUAUUGUAAUCCUAAAGGGAAAGGUUUUACCCUUCCUACUACUAUAAAUAAAGGCACAAUGGGGUGAAUCAAACACACCUCACAAUUAAAUCAAUCUCUCUUCUCUCUAAUAGUGGUCGGCCCCCUCUCUCUCUCUAAACCCUAGAUCGUUCAAUCAAAUAGGCCUACAACACAUUAUCAGAACGCUCUUGCCAGAAGCUGAGGAAUUGAAGCAUCGUUGGAGGAGGCUAUCAUCCACCAAAUUCAAAGGCUUAUUCGUUUUCUGCUAAUCAGGUACGCUUAAAAUAAAAGAAGAUAUUUGAAAUGUCCACGAAGCAUGAAAACAUUCCCCAUGAUGCAUGAACCUCUCUAUGUUUAUAUUUUCCUUUCGAUAUAUGUGUAUAUAUAUAUAUAUAUUGUAUAUGUUCAUAUAUUUGUCAAUAUAUAUAUAUAUAUAUAUUUGUUUCAUGCAUCGCACAAUUAAAUUGUUAUGUGGAAUUUGUGAGUCAAAUUAUAUAAAAUAAAUUAGAAGCAUAUUUAGGAUUUUCCUAAACCCUAUGGGAUUUUGAAAAAAAAGGGAAAUUGGACAUAAUUUGGCACCACCCUUGAGGCACAACACCAAGCCUUCGACCUGCUUGACUGGAAUAGACC
RNAcentral lists this long non-coding RNA (3156 nucleotides) under Malus domestica (apple). Its description in RNAcentral is "long non-coding RNA (MDOM_LNC003056)". The record is from RNAcentral. Lineage: Eukaryota; Viridiplantae; Streptophyta; Magnoliopsida; Rosales; Rosaceae.